This 650-nucleotide ribosomal RNA is filed under the name uncultured bacterium. RNAcentral's name for it is "bacterial SSU rRNA". It matches the Rfam family "Bacterial small subunit ribosomal RNA", at positions 84 to 721 of the family's 1533-position model. The record is from RNAcentral.
GGGAUAAGUUAGCGGCGGACGGGUGAGUAACACGUAGGUAACCUGCCUAUAAGAUCGGGAUAACUAUCGGAAACGAUAGCUAAGACCGGAUAACUGGUUUUCUCGCAUGAGAGAAUUAUGAAACACGGAGCAAUCUGUGGCUUAUAGAUGGGCCUGCGGCGCAUUAGCUAGUUGGUGGGGUAACGGCCUACCAAGGCGACGAUGCGUAGCCGACCUGAGAGGGUGAACGGCCACACUGGGACUGAGACACGGCCCAGACUCCUACGGGAGGCAGCAGUAGGGAAUCUUCCGCAAUGGACGCAAGUCUGACGGAGCAACGCCGCGUGAGUGAUGAAGGUUUUCGGAUCGUAAAGCUCUGUUGCCCUAGACGAACAGCAAGGAGAGUAACUGCCCUUUGUGUGACGGUAUAGGAGAAGAAAGCCCCGGCUAACUACGUGCCAGCAGCCGCGGUAAUACGUAGGGGGCAAGCGUUGUCCGGAAUUAUUGGGCGUAAAGCGCGCGCAGGCGGUCAAUUAAGUUGGGUGUUUAAGCCCGGGGCUCAACCCCGGUUCGCAUCCAAAACUGGUUGACUUGAGUGUAGGAGAGGAAAGUGGAAUUCCACGUGUAGCGGUGAAAUGCGUAGAGAUGUGGAGGAACACCAGUGGCGAAGG